ACUCCUACGGGAGGCAGCAGUGGGGAAUUUUGCGCAAUGGGGAAACCCUGACGCAGCAACGCCGCGUGAGUGAUGAAGGCCCUUGGGUCGUAAAGCUCUGACAGAGGGAAAGAAGUGUAGAGUGGCUAAUAUCCACAUUACUUGACGGUACCCUCAAAGGAAGCACCGGCUAACUCCGUGCCAGCAGCCGCGGUAAUACGGGGGGUGCAAGCGUUGUUCGGAUUUAUUGGGCGUAAAGCGCGUGUAGGCGGUUUUAUAAGUCUGAUGUGAAAGCCCUGGGCUCAACCCGGGAAGUGCAUUGGAUACUGUAAGACUUGAAUACGGGAGAGGGCAGUGGAAUUCCUAGUGUAGGAGUGAAAUCCGUAGAUAUUAGGAGGAACACCGGUGGCGAAGGCGGCUGCCUGGACCGAUAUUGACGCUGAGACGCGAAAGCGUGGGUAGCAAACAGGAUUAGAUACCCUGGUAGUCCACGCCGUAAACGAUGAGAACUAGGUGUCGCGGGUA
RNAcentral lists this ribosomal RNA (504 nucleotides) under uncultured Geobacter sp. Its description in RNAcentral is "bacterial SSU rRNA". It matches the Rfam family "Bacterial small subunit ribosomal RNA", at positions 335 to 831 of the family's 1533-position model. The record is from RNAcentral. Lineage: Bacteria; Pseudomonadati; Thermodesulfobacteriota; Desulfuromonadia; Geobacterales; Geobacteraceae.